This 1324-nucleotide ribosomal RNA is filed under the name Affecauda annulata. Its description in RNAcentral is "eukaryotic LSU rRNA". It matches the Rfam family "Eukaryotic large subunit ribosomal RNA", at positions 41 to 961 of the family's 3401-position model. The record is from RNAcentral. Lineage: Eukaryota; Metazoa; Platyhelminthes; Trematoda; Opisthorchiida; Gyliauchenidae.
UAUCACUAAGCGGAGGAAAAGAACUAACAAGGAUUCCCUUAGUAACGGCGAGUGAACAGGGAAGAGCCCAGCACCGAAGCCUGUGGCCGUUUGGUUACUAGGCAAUGUGGUGUUUAGGUCGUUCCGCGGAGGCACUGCGCCACUCCAAGUCCAUUCAUGAGUACGGUUGUACAGACUUGGCCCACAGAGGGUGAAAGGCCCGUGGGGGUGGUGUUCCAGAUAUGUCAGUGUCUCUCUGGUAAGACCUUGGAGUCGGGUUGUUUGUGAAUGCAGCCCAAAGUGGGUGGUAAACUCCAUCCAAGGCUAAAUACUUGCACGAGUCCGAUAGCGAACAAGUACCGUGAGGGAAAGUUGAAAAGUACUUUGAAGAGAGAGUAAACAGUGCGUGAAACCGCUCAGAGGUAAACGGGUGGAGUUGAACUGCGAGCCCAGAGAAUUCAGCUGGUGAGUGUGGUCUGAGCUUGUUCAGGUUGGCUGUACACUGGAGUCUGCGAAGUAGCGGGUCUCCUCCUUCGGGUGGAGAUGUGCGAUACACCUUGAGAAGUGUUGCGCGCUUCAGUUGUAUACGGGCCUGCUUGCCAGUGCAUUUUCUCUGGGUGUUCACCACGACCGGCACUGCUGUCUGGCUGUUGUGGUUAAACCGUUCUUGCUUAGUCCUUGUGGCUUUGCUUGGUCGGGACGGCAGGUAACUUGUUGGCUAGUCUUUUGACCUGCCUUCGGGUGUAAUCAGCUGACCAUAAUGGUUCUGUGCAGUGUGUCGGAGACGGCGGCUUGUGGUGUGAGCGCGCGUGCCUUGUCUACUGACUUGGUUGGGUCUGGUUGCUCUGUUGCUUGUUCUCAAGCCUAGCGAUGGCCUGACUUUGUUUGGUGGGCGGUUGCGUGUGUGACACUAUCCAGGGCCAAUAGUCUGUGGUGUUGUGGUAGACUUUCCACCCGACCCGUCUUGAAACACGGACCAAGGAGAGUAACAUGUAUGCGAGUCAUUGGGCGUAACGAAACCCACAGGCGCAGUGAAAGUAAAGGUUUGGUUUAUCCAGACUGAGGUGAGAUCCUGCUGUGUCUUGCACGUUUAAAUGACAAGCUCGAGCAGUGGGCGCAUCACCGGCCCGUCCCAUGAUGUAGUCACGGCCUUGUGCCUGUGCACCGUCGGGGCGGAGCAUGAGCAUACAUGUUGAGACCCGAAAGAUGGUGAACUAUGCUUGCGCAGGUUGAAGCCAGAGGAAACUCUGGUGGAGGACCGUAGCGAUUCUGACGUGCAAAUCGAUCGUCAAACGUGAGUAUAGGGGCGAAAGACUAAUCGAACCAUCUAGUAGCUGGUUCCCUC